CCUACGGGCGGCAGCAGUGGGGACUUUUGGGCAAUGGGCGCAAGCCUGACCCAGCAACGCCGCGUGAAGGAAGACGGCUUUCGGGUUGUAAACUUCUUUUGUCCGGGAAGAGUAGAAGACGGUACCUGACGAAUAAGCCACGGCUAACUACGUGCCAGCGGCCGCGGUGAUACGUAGGUGGCCAGCGUUGUCCGGAUUUACUGGGUGUAAAGGGCGUGUAGCCGGGUUGACAAGUCAGAUGUGCAAUCCUGCGGCUUAACCGCAGAACUGCAUUUGGAACUGUUGAGCUUGAGUACUGGAGAGGCAGAUGGAAUUCCUAGUGUAGCGGUGAAAUGCGUAGAUAGUAGGAGGAACACCAGUGGCGAAGGCGGGCUGCGGGACAGCAACUGACGGGGAGGCGCGAAAGCGUGGGGAGCAAACAGGAUUAGAUACCCGAGUAGUC
This 442-nucleotide ribosomal RNA is filed under the name uncultured bacterium. Its description in RNAcentral is "partial 16S ribosomal RNA". It matches the Rfam family "Bacterial small subunit ribosomal RNA", at positions 338 to 795 of the family's 1533-position model. The record is from RNAcentral.